This 125-nucleotide ribosomal RNA is filed under the name uncultured Clostridium sp. RNAcentral's name for it is "partial 16S ribosomal RNA". It matches the Rfam family "Bacterial small subunit ribosomal RNA", at positions 335 to 459 of the family's 1533-position model. Lineage: Bacteria; Bacillati; Bacillota; Clostridia; Eubacteriales; Clostridiaceae. The record is from RNAcentral.
ACUCCUACGGGAGGCAGCAGUGGGGAAUAUUGCACAAUGGGGGAAACCCUGAUGCAGCAACGCCGCGUGAGUGAUGACGGCCUUCGGGUUGUAAAGCUCUGUCUUCAGGGACGAUAAUGACGUAC